AAUCCGGUUGAUCCUGCCGGACCUGACUGCUAUCGGAUUGAUACUAAGCCAUGCGAGUCAUUGUAGUAAUACAAGGCAGACGGCUCAGUAACGCGUAGUCAACCUAACCUAUGGACGGGAAUAACCUCGGGAAACUGAGAAUAAUGCCCGAUAGAACACUAUAUCUGGAAUGGUUUGUGUUCCAAAUGAUUUAUCGCCGUAGGAUGGGACUGCGGCCUAUCAGUUUGUUGGUGAGGUAAUGGCCCACCAAGACUAUUACAGGUACGGGCUCUGAGAGGAGUAGCCCGGAGAUGGGUACUGAGACACGGACCCAGGCCCUAUGGGGCGCAGCAGGCGAGAAAACUUUGCAAUGUGCGAAAGCACGACAAGGUUAAUCCGAGUGGUUUCUGCUAAAGGAACCUUUUGUUAGUCCUAGAAACACUAACGUAUAAGGGGUGGGCAAGUUCUGGUGUCAGCCGCCGCGGUAAAACCAGCACCUCAAGUGGUCAGGAUGAUUAUU
This 499-nucleotide ribosomal RNA is filed under the name Candidatus Thalassarchaeaceae archaeon. RNAcentral describes it as "bacterial SSU rRNA". It matches the Rfam family "Archaeal small subunit ribosomal RNA", at positions 1 to 505 of the family's 1478-position model. Lineage: Archaea; Methanobacteriati; Thermoplasmatota; Candidatus Poseidoniia; Candidatus Poseidoniales; Candidatus Thalassarchaeaceae. The record is from RNAcentral.